UACGGAGGGAGCUAGCGUUGUUCGGAAUUACUGGGCGUAAAGCGCGCGUAGGCGGCUUUGUAAGUUAGAGGUGAAAGCCCGGAGCUCAACUCCGGAACUGCCUUUAAAACUGCAUCGCUUGAAUCCAGGAGAGGUGAGUGGAAUUCCGAGUGUAGGGGUGAAAUUCGUAGAUAUUCGGAAGAACACCAGUGGCGAAGGCGGCUCACCGGACUGGUAUUGACGCUGAGGUGCGAAAGCGUGGGGAGCAAACAGG
This 253-nucleotide ribosomal RNA is filed under the name uncultured bacterium. RNAcentral describes it as "partial 16S ribosomal RNA". It matches the Rfam family "Bacterial small subunit ribosomal RNA", at positions 524 to 776 of the family's 1533-position model. The record is from RNAcentral.